GAUGAACGCUGGCGGCGUCCCUAAUACAUGCAAGUCGAGCGAACAGACGAGGAGCUUGCUCCUCUGACGUUAGCGGCGGACGGGUGAGUAACACGUGGAUAACCUACCUAUAAGACUGGGAUAACUUCGGGAAACCGGAGCUAAUACCGGAUAAUAUAUUGAACCGCAUGGUUCAAUAGUGAAAGACGGUUUUGCUGUCACUUAUAGAUGGAUCCGCGCCGCAUUAGCUAGUUGGUAAGGUAACGGCUUACCAAGGCAACGAUGCGUAGCCGACCUGAGAGGGUGAUCGGCCACACUGGAACUGAGACACGGUCCAGACUCCUACGGGAGGCAGCAGUAGGGAAUCUUCCGCAAUGGGCGAAAGCCUGACGGAGCAACGCCGCGUGAGUGAUGAAGGUCUUCGGAUCGUAAAACUCUGUUAUUAGGGAAGAACAAAUGUGUAAGUAACUAUGCACGUCUUGACGGUACCUAAUCAGAAAGCCACGGCUAACUACGUG
Molecule: ribosomal RNA, 497 nt
Filed under: uncultured bacterium
Lineage: Bacteria
Description: partial 16S ribosomal RNA
Rfam family: Bacterial small subunit ribosomal RNA
Source: RNAcentral